UGCGUAGGUGGCUUUGUAAGUCAGUGGUGAAAGCCCGGGGCUCAACCCCGGAACUGCCAUUGAUACUGCUUAGCUUGAAUCAGGUCGAGGUGGAUGGAAUAUUACAUGUAGCGGUGAAAUGCUUAGAGAUGUAAUAGAACACCGAUUGCGAAGGCAGUUCACUAGGCCCGUAUUGACACUGAGGCACGAAAGCGUGGGGAUCAAACAGGAUUAGAUACCCUGGUAGUCCACGCCCUAAACGAUGUAAACUCGACGUUAGCGAUAUACUGUUAGCGUCCAAGCGAAAGCGUUAAGUUUACCACCUGGGAAGUACGACCGCAAGGUUGAA
RNAcentral lists this ribosomal RNA (328 nucleotides) under uncultured bacterium. Its description in RNAcentral is "bacterial SSU rRNA". It matches the Rfam family "Bacterial small subunit ribosomal RNA", at positions 568 to 898 of the family's 1533-position model. The record is from RNAcentral.